ACGGAGCAAAAGCGACGUUCAACCGCAAAAGAAGCAGAGGGGGCUUAGUGGUGGGGUGACUGCGUACCUUUUGUAUAAUGGGUCAGCGACUUAUAUUCUGUAGCAAGGUUAACCGAAUAGGGGAGCCGUAGGGAAACCGAGUCUUAACCGGGCGUUAAGUUGCAGGGUAUAGACCCGAAACCCGGUGAUCUAGCCAUGGGCAGGUUGAAGGUUGGGUAACACUAACUGGAGGACCGAACCGACUAAUGUUGAAAAAUUAGCGGAUGACCUGUGGCUGGGGGUGAAAGGCCAAUCAAACCGGGAGAUAGCUGGUUCUCCCCGAAAGCUAUUUAGGUAGCGCCUCGUGAAUUCAUCUCCGGGGGUAGAGCACUGUUUCGGCUAGGGGGCCAUCCCGGCUUACCAACCCGAUGCAAACUGCGAAUACCGGAGAAUGUUAUCACGGGAGACACACGGCGGGUGCUAACGUCCGUCGUGAAGAGGGAAACAACCCAGACCGCCAGCUAAGGUCCCAAAGUCAUGGUUAAGUGGGAAACGAUGUGGGAAGGCCCAGACAGCCAGGAUGUUGGCUUAGAAGCAGCCAUCAUUUAAAGAAAGCGUAAUAGCUCACUGGUCGAGUCGGCCUGCGCGGAAGAUGUAACGGGGCUAAACCAUGCACCGAAGCUGCGGCAGCGAACGUAUCACUUAAAGCGAUUCAGCGGGUUCGAUUGACGGAGCGAAGCGACGUCAAAGCGUAUACAAAGUCGAGUCGGUUUAAGGAUACGUUCGUUGGGUAGGGGAGCGUUCUGUAAGCCUGCGAAGGUGGCCUGUGAGGGUUGCUGGAGGUAUCAGAAGUGCGAAUGCUGACAUAAGUAACGAUAAAGCGGGUGAAAAGCCCGCUCGCCGGAAGACCAAGGGUUCCUGUCCAACGUUAAUCGGGGCAGGGUGAGUCGACCCCUAAGGCGAGGCCGAAAGGCGUAGUCGAUGGGAAACGGGUUAAUAUUCCCGUACUUGGUGUUACUGCGAAGGGGGGACGGAGAAGGCUAUGUUGGCCGGGCGACGGUUGUCCCGGUUUAAGCGUGUAGGCUGGUUUUCCAGGCAAAUCCGGAAAAUCAAGGCUGAGGCGUGACGACGAGGCACUACGGUGCUGAAGCAACAAAUGCCCUGCUUCCAGGAAAAGCCUCUAAGCAUCAGGUAACACGAAAUCGUACCCCAAACCGACACAGGUGGUCAGGUAGAGAAUACCAAGGCGCUUGAGAGAACUCGGGUGAAGGAACUAGGCAAAAUGGUGCCGUAACUUCGGGAGAAGGCACGCUGACACGUAGGUGAAGUGAUUUACUCAUGGAGCUGAAGUCAGUCGAAGAUACCAGCUGGCUGCAACUGUUUAUUAAAAACACAGCACUGUGCAAACACGAAAGUGGACGUAUACGGUGUGACGCCUGCCCGGUGCCGGAAGGUUAAUUGAUGGGGUCAGCGCAAGCGAAGCUCCUGAUCGAAGCCCCGGUAAACGGCGGCCGUAACUAUAACGGUCCUAAGGUAGCGAAAUUCCUUGUCGGGUAAGUUCCGACCUGCACGAAUGGCGUAAUGAUGGCCAGGCUGUCUCCACCCGAGACUCAGUGAAAUUGAACUCGCUGUGAAGAUGCAGUGUACCCGCGGCAAGACGGAAAGACCCCGUGAACCUUUACUAUAGCUUGACACUGAACAUUGAGCCUUGAUGUGUAGGAUAGGUGGGAGGCUUUGAAGCGUGGACGCCAGUCUGCGUGGAGCCGACCUUGAAAUACCACCCUUUAAUGUUUGAUGUUCUAACGU
This 1785-nucleotide ribosomal RNA is filed under the name Salmonella enterica. RNAcentral describes it as "partial 23S ribosomal RNA". It matches the Rfam family "Bacterial large subunit ribosomal RNA", at positions 533 to 2228 of the family's 2925-position model. The record is from RNAcentral. Lineage: Bacteria; Pseudomonadati; Pseudomonadota; Gammaproteobacteria; Enterobacterales; Enterobacteriaceae.